CCGGUUGAUCCUGCCGGACCUGACUGCUAUCGGAUUGAUACUAAGCCAUGCGAGUCAUUGUAGCAAUACAAGGCAGACGGCUCAGUAACGCGUAGUCAACCUAACCUAUGGACGGGAAUAACCUCAGGAAACUGAGAAUAAUGCCCGAUAGAACACUAUAUCUGGAAUGGUUUGUGUUCCAAAUGAUUUAUCGCCGUAGGAUGGGACUGCGGCCUAUCAGUUUGUUGGUGAGGUAAUGGCCCACCAAGACUAUUACAGGUACGGGCUCUGAGAGGAGUAGCCCGGAGAUGGGUACUGAGACACGGACCCAGGCCCUAUGGGGCGCAGCAGGCGAGAAAACUUUGCAAUGUGCGAAAGCACGACAAGGUUAAUCCGAGUGGUUUGUGCUAAACGAACCUUUUGUCGGUCCUAGAAACACCGAUGAAUAAGGGGUGGGCAAGUUCUGGUGUCAGCCGCCGCGGUAAAACCAGCACCUCAAGUGGUCAGGAUGAUUAUUGGGCCUAAAGCAUCCGUAGCCGGCGCUGUAAGUUUUCGGUUAAAUCUGUACGCUCAACGUACAGGCUGCCGGGAAUACUGCAGCGCUAGGGAGUGGGAGAGGUAGACGGUACUCGGUAGGAAGGGGUAAAAUCCUUUGAUCUAUUGAUGACCACCUGUGGCGAAGGCGGUCUACCAGAACACGUCCGACGGUGAGGGAUGAAAGCUGGGGGAGCAAACCGGAUUAGAUACCCGGGUAGUCCCAGCUGUAAACUAUGCAAACUCAGUGAUGCAUUGGCUUGUGGCCAAUGCAGUGCUGCAGGGAAGCCGUUAAGUUUGCCGCCUGGGAAGUACGUACGCAAGUAUGAAACUUAAAGGAAUUGGCGGGGGAGCACCACAAGGGGUGAAGCCUGCGGUUCAAUUGGAUUCAACGCCGGAAAUC
Molecule: ribosomal RNA, 916 nt
Filed under: uncultured archaeon
Lineage: Archaea
Description: bacterial SSU rRNA
Rfam family: Archaeal small subunit ribosomal RNA
Source: RNAcentral